GCUGAGUGUGGUGGCGCAUGCCUGUAAUCCCAGUUACUUGGGAGGCUGAGGCAGGAGAAUUGCUUGAACCCAGGAGGCAGAGGUUGCAGUGAGCUGAAGCACAACUGCACUUCAGCCUGGGUGACAGAGCAAGACUCUGUCUCAA
Molecule: unclassified non-coding RNA, 145 nt
Organism: Macaca fascicularis (crab-eating macaque)
Lineage: Eukaryota; Metazoa; Chordata; Mammalia; Primates; Cercopithecidae
Rfam family: Metazoan signal recognition particle RNA
About the family: The signal recognition particle (SRP) is a universally conserved ribonucleoprotein. It is involved in the co-translational targeting of proteins to membranes.
Source: Ensembl